Molecule: ribosomal RNA, 527 nt
Filed under: Salmonella enterica subsp. enterica serovar Infantis
Lineage: Bacteria; Pseudomonadati; Pseudomonadota; Gammaproteobacteria; Enterobacterales; Enterobacteriaceae
Description: bacterial SSU rRNA
Rfam family: Bacterial small subunit ribosomal RNA
Source: RNAcentral
CUUCGGGAACUGUGAGACAGGUGCUGCAUGGCUGUCGUCAGCUCGUGUUGUGAAAUGUUGGGUUAAGUCCCGCAACGAGCGCAACCCUUAUCCUUUGUUGCCAGCGGUCCGGCCGGGAACUCAAAGGAGACUGCCAGUGAUAAACUGGAGGAAGGUGGGGAUGACGUCAAGUCAUCAUGGCCCUUACGACCAGGGCUACACACGUGCUACAAUGGCGCAUACAAAGAGAAGCGACCUCGCGAGAGCAAGCGGACCUCAUAAAGUGCGUCGUAGUCCGGAUUGGAGUCUGCAACUCGACUCCAUGAAGUCGGAAUCGCUAGUAAUCGUGGAUCAGAAUGCCACGGUGAAUACGUUCCCGGGCCUUGUACACACCGCCCGUCACACCAUGGGAGUGGGUUGCAAAAGAAGUAGGUAGCUUAACCUUCGGGAGGGCGCUUACCACUUUGUGAUUCAUGACUGGGGUGAAGUCGUAACAAGGUAACCGUAGGGGAACCUGCGGUUGGAUCACCUCCUUACCUUAAAGAAGC